This 391-nucleotide ribosomal RNA is filed under the name uncultured bacterium. RNAcentral's name for it is "bacterial SSU rRNA". It matches the Rfam family "Bacterial small subunit ribosomal RNA", at positions 303 to 708 of the family's 1533-position model. The record is from RNAcentral.
AUCAGCCACACUGGGACUGAGACACGGCCCAGACUCCUACGGGAGGCAGCAGUGGGGAAUAUUGGACAAUGGGCGCAAGCCCUGAUCCAGCCAUGCCGCGUGUGUGAUGAAGGCCUUAGGGUUGUAAAGCACGUACGCAGGUGAAAGAUCCUGACGGUAACCGGAGAAGGAAGCCCCGGCGGUCUUCGUGCCAGCAGCCGCGGUAAUACGAAGGGGGCAAGCGUUGCUCGGAAUCACUGGGCGUAAAGCGCACGUAGGCGGGUUGUUAAGUCAGAGGUGAAAUCCUGGAGCUCAACUCCAGAACUGCCUUUGAUACUGGCGACCUUGAGUUCGAGAGAGGUUGGUGGAACUGCGAGUGUAGAGGUGAAAUUCGUAGAUAUUCGCAAGAACA